Molecule: ribosomal RNA, 497 nt
Filed under: uncultured bacterium
Lineage: Bacteria
Description: partial 16S ribosomal RNA
Rfam family: Bacterial small subunit ribosomal RNA
Source: RNAcentral
GAUGAACGCUGGCGGCGUGCCUAAUACAUGCAAGUAGAACGCUGAGGGAAGGAGCUUGCUCUUUCCGGAUGAGUUGCGAACGGGUGAGUAACGCGUAGGUAACCUGCCUGGUAGCGGGGGAUAACUAUUGGAAACGAUAGCUAAUACCGCAUAACAGUAGAUGUUGCAUGACAACUAUUUGAAAGGGGCAAUUGCUCCACUACCAGAUGGACCUGCGUUGUAUUAGCUAGUUGGUGAGGUAACGGCUCACCAAGGCGACGAUACAUAGCCGACCUGAGAGGGUGAUCGGCCACACUGGGACUGAGACACGGCCCAGACUCCUACGGGAGGCAGCAGUAGGGAAUCUUCGGCAAUGGACGGAAGUCUGACCGAGCAACGCCGCGUGAGUGAAGAAGGUUUUCGGAUCGUAAAGCUCUGUUGUAAGAGAAGAACGAGUGUGAGAGUGGAAAGUUCACACUGUGACGGUAUCUUACCAGAAAGGGACGGCUAACUACGUG